Molecule: non-coding RNA, 184 nt
Filed under: Bacillus sp. (in: firmicutes)
Lineage: Bacteria; Bacillati; Bacillota; Bacilli; Caryophanales; Bacillaceae
Source: RNAcentral
UCAUAUCGAUAAGGUGUAGGUGCUGAUUUUUUUGUCAGCUUAAAAGGGAAGCCGGUUAAACUCCGGCGCGGUCCCGCCACUGUAAAUGGGAGUGACCUGCUUAAUCCACUGUGCGGCAAUGCAUGGGAAGGAGCGGGGAGCGAUGAUCAUGAGCCAGGAGACCUGCCUCACACCUCGUCACCGC